RNAcentral lists this long non-coding RNA (236 nucleotides) under Bos taurus (domestic cattle). RNAcentral describes it as "long non-coding RNA NONBTAT005730". The record is from RNAcentral. Lineage: Eukaryota; Metazoa; Chordata; Mammalia; Artiodactyla; Bovidae.
AAAAAAAAGGAAGUGACCACUUUUCUUGCACAGACUAAAAAACCCAGGCUGGCAUUUUUAGGUUGGGAAACCACUGAAUCGGUCAAGUCUGACAGUCAAGUGAGUUAAAAAACAAAGUAUGGAGCAUGAAUUUCCCUAUACCAUCUGCUGUGCUAAUUAACAGUCCUGCCUCAGUUGAGUCUUGAUCUGAAGUUUAUUUUGUUUCAGUUCCUUGUGUGCAUCCACCAUGCUGGUCC